Molecule: unclassified non-coding RNA, 5022 nt
Filed under: Hevea brasiliensis (rubber tree)
Lineage: Eukaryota; Viridiplantae; Streptophyta; Magnoliopsida; Malpighiales; Euphorbiaceae
Source: RNAcentral
UAUCCAUCUUACUUUUCCCUGUUUGGCUGCUUAGAAAGCUCAGGAAAAAACUAUGGAAACAAUUACACCAUUCACUCUCGUUUUCUUUGUUAACUUUUUCUUUCUGUUCCGGAAGAAAUAGUGAAAGGAUUAGCUCAAUUUAAAUAUAGUUAUGUUCUUGGUUGAAGUUCUAUUGUUCUUUUCCAUCUCUCGGUAAAUAGACAAGUAAUUAUUAGCUUAUUUUAUUAUUUCUUCUGAGGUCAAGGUGAACAUAGUAGGAUUUGUCUGGCAUUGCUGAGAGAUACUGUUGAGAAAAACAGUUAGUUAACAUAUUAAAAAUUAAUUUAAAAUUAAAUAUAACAUGUCUUAAUCAUAAAUUUUACAAUUUUUUCAUUAUUUUGCAUUGGUGUUAAAGAAAUUAUUGGUAGUUCUAGAUAAAUUUCGGUGCAUAAUAGAAUUUCCUUUUAGUUAAAUGGCCCCAAAAAAAAUCAAUUUAGGCUCAUUAUUUCCCCAGGCAAUAACUUGUCUGGAAGAUGCUUAUUGCUGAAAAUAUAUUUUAUUUUGAUGGAGGCCAUGUGAUUGGUUUGAGCUGUAGGAACUCCAUAUUUCCCGCAUGUAAUUGAAUAGAGGAUCAGGGGAGAAAUUAAUGAAAUAGUGACUUUUGGUGGUUGCCACACUUGAUAGUUGUUGGUGAUGGCUGAUGGCAGGUAGCAAACAACGGUGAUCUAGAGAUGGGAAUUCAACUUUAUGAGUUCCUCCCUUUUCAUGAGUUUGUGGGGUGUAAAAAUGGGAAUUCAUUUUUCUUGAAAUUGGUUUACUUUUCCUUCAAUUAGGAAAAUAUUUUUUAUUGAACUAUGUUUGAAUGUACCUCAAACACCAGGAGAUGUAUAAUAUUUUUCACAAGACAUACAGAGCCUUAGAAUUAUUACUGUUAUUGUACAGCAUGAUUGAAAUGAACUUCAUUAUUGCUUUAACCGUUUUUAUAUUUCCUUAUAUAUAUAUAUAUAUACACACAUUCCUUUUGGCAAUAGAGUAAUUUCUUCUUCUUUGUAGUGCAAACACUUGAUUAAGAGUCACUAUUAUUAGUAUUUGCGAAGACUGAGUUGCAAUGAGCACUGAACUAAAAUUUUGUAUAAUUUACUGAGCAUUUGAAAGCCUAUUUUGGUGUUCUAAUAGUUCAAACUCUCACAUCCUCCUUCCCUUUCGCUUGUAAUUGUAGAGUUUGUAUUCAAUUUAAUUCUUUGUGGUGGUUACAUUUUACAUACUGGAGAUACCAUAUUUCUGGUUAAAGAAAAAUAAUUAGAUAUUGAAUUUUCUCUAUCACACUAUUAUAUAUAAUUAAUGAGAUUGGUAAGUUUUCUGUGGCUGUAAUUACCAUUAGAGGGUGAUACUUUCGUCAAAUUUCUGCUCAAAUAAUUAGAGUUGAUCUUAUGCAGGUUAAUUGCAUUAUUUUAGGUAGUCUUGUUACGAGAGAGACACUUCUCUAAGUAUGGAAAAUGAGGAUGUGAUUAGGCUUCCUGUUUCUGGUAAUUCUGGAGAUAGCAGUGAGAAUAAUGAACUUCACAAGUCCGAAUCUGGUUCAGGUGAAGCUGAUUCUCAACCUAGGGUUUAUGAGGCUGAAGAAGGAACAAGAGAUGGGGACAAUUUGGGGCUUUAUGAAGUUGAUAUUGGAACUGGAAAAGGAGCAAGAGUUCUAGAGAAUUUGGGGCUCAAUGAAGAUGAUAUUGGAACUGAAGAACGGACGACAAGAUUGGAAAAUUCAGUACUUGAUGCUGUAAGAAAAGAAGGCACAACAGAUCAGGAUAGUUUGGUGUUCAAUCAAGUGGAUGUCAGAAAUGAAGAUGGGCAGCAGUUUCCAGUGGAAACAGAUGUUGACAUGGAUGUGGUUGAUUCACCUGUCAUGCAAGUGAAAAUUGAAGUGGCUGACACUGUUACAGUUUCUGAGAACCUUAGUGGCUUUGGUUUUCAAUUAAGUUCUCAGAAUGAUUGUCCCAAUAACCAAAAUAAGAGUCUUAUCCAUAGCCACAUGAUGAAUGGUGGUCGUAUCCUGCUUUGGCAUCCAAUAUUUUUAUUUUUUGUUAUGUUAUUUAUUUAUUAUAAUAAACCUCUUUUUUGCAUAUUCUCCAACUCAACCUUAUAUGGACUUUUUAGUUAUAGAACUCAAACACAAAUGAGCUUUGUAUCCAGAGUUGUAAACAGCAAAUUAGUUAAGUAAAUUGUCUAUAUUUAAUCCACAUAGUCCCCUUUAUUUCUGAAUUUAUUUUUUGGUUUAUUUUCUGCUUUCCAUGAUUCUGUAUGAAAGCUCUAUCAGGUGUUAAGAGAGCAAGGAUUGCAUAUGAUGAAUGGCAACCUUCAGUGCAUGUCUCUUAUAACUCACUAACAAGGUCAGGGUGGAAGUACUCAUUAUAAGUUGGCCAAUCCAAGAAUUUGGAGCAAUAGAGCUGUAUAUUUUGGUUUCUAUUCAGAGUGUUUACAACUAUUAUUAUUCUGGAUUUAAGGGGAGGCAAUAUGUCCUAUUAGAGUCAUCUUGGAUUUUCAUUAAUUUAAUUCUCUGAAGAUUGUUGACUUUCUACAGAGCUAGCAAAAGGAAGUUGGAGGAACUAUUACAGCAGUGGUCAGAGUGGCAUGCACAACAUGGUUCAUCAUCUCAAGACUUGAAUGAAGUGCUAGAAUCUGGCGAAGAAACAUAUUUUCCUGCUCUCUGUGUUGGUAUGGAGAAAUCAUCUACAGUGUCUUUCUGGAUAGAGAACCAGACAAAGAAGCAGCAGUCUAAUUGCUAUAUUCCUCCUGAUGGUGACUUUGUGCCUCUUUAUGAUCGUGGAUUUGCAUUGGGUUUGUCUUCAAUAGAUGGUCCAAGUAAUGUUGAGGGGUAAAUUACUAACUUUUUUGGUUUGCAUGUUUCAUAAUAUAUAAUGUUUCGAGAUCUAUCCUCUUGCGUUUGACUGUUUAACUGCCUUGUAUGCUCAAGCUAUUUGGAAAUCUAACUGUAUAUAUGAGCUUAUUUUCUUUUUACAUCAAUUCAUAUGCACACAAACAAGCUCAAUUAGUUUAAAAACUGUUAACUGAAUGAUUAUAUUAUUACAAGCUCAAUUAGCAUGCUGGGAGAUCAACAGUUGUAAUGAUGAUUUUAUGAUCAUCACAUGUCGAAUCUAUAUACAUUCAUGAGAGUUUAUCGGCAAGAAAUUGUAUAACCUUGUUCAUUCUUUGGGGAUAACUGGGAACUUUUGUGUAAAUCAUUUUGCCUUUGUAGAUUUUUAUGACUGCAUUUUCUGUGAAGAUGCUUAAAGUGUAAGCCUCUGGUUGCAUGGCCAUUUUUUAAGUUAUAUAUAUAUAUAUAUGUAAAUGAAAAUGAAAACAUUAAUGCCUUUCCAAAGGGUGAUGCUAUUCAUAUACAUGUUAUAAAUGAUGAAUGUGAUUGAUCCUGGGGAAACUUGGCAAGUGUGUGUUAUUGAAUGCAUGAACUCUAGGCUAAUAACGUAACAAGGAGAGGGCAGGGGAAGAUUAUUGCACGCUGUUAUCUUUCUAAUACUCCAGUGGAUUAGGCCAGGCCAUUUGCUGCAUUGCUAUCCUUCCGCUAGACCACAAGUAAUACACCUCUAUUUUGCUGGUGAAAAUUCAAGCAAGGGCCAACUUCUCCAGUAAUUAUAAUUCUAUUCUUUAUCAGUUUCCUGACACCUGCUGUUUCACAUUUACAAUGUUCUACUUGGUUUCACUAUUGUAUCUCAUGUUUUACAUCUUGUUUCUGUUUCUUUAGAGGCCUGGAAAUAGUAGAUGAGGCUGCCCGUUGUUUCAACUGUGGUUCUUACGGCCAUUCUCUCAAGGAGUGCCCUAAGCCUCGCGACAGUGUUGCUGUUAAUAAUGCUCGAAAACAACACAAGUCCAAGCGGAAUCAGAAUGCUGGCUCUCGCAAUGCAACUCGAUAUUAUCAGAACUCUUCUGGUGGAAAAUAUGAUGGUUUAAAGCCAGGUGCUCUUGGUGCUGAAACAAGGCAGCUUUUGGGUCUUGGGGAGCUUGAUCCACCUCCUUGGCUUAACAGAAUGCGAGAAUUGGGAUAUCCACCAGGGUAUCUAGAUCCAGAUGAUGAGGAUCAACCAUCGGGGAUCACAAUAUUUGCUGAUGAGGAUGUCAAGGAAGAACAGGAAGAUGGGGAAAUCAUUGAGACAGACUGCCCUGACCCACCAAAGAAAAUGGCUGUUGAAUUUCCAGGAAUAAAUGCACCAAUCCCAGAGAAUGCUGAUGAAAGACUUUGGGCAGCUGGACCUUCAAGCUACGAUCCUUUUAGGAAUAGAUCACUCCGUAGAUCAAACCAUUCUUCAGAACCAAUUAGCAGAUGGCGUCGUCACGAGCAAAGAGGGUCUAGGGAUUCCCUUGACGAAGGGCCUCCAGGUGUUGACCCAGUAUUCAGUCCAUCUAUGUCUAGCUACCCUCCAAGAUAUGGUAAUUAUGAUUCUAGUUACAAUUUUGACAACAGCAGAGAUCCGUCACCCUCCCUGGCAAGGUCUCAUAUUGACAGAGGUAGAAGGAGCCCUUUGGCAAGUGAAGAUUUUUCUAAUAAUAUUUCAUCAUUGCACUCAUCCUCAAAUAAACGUUCUUCACCUUGGAAUAAUGGCUCAACUAGAUUAGAAAAUGAGACUGAUGAGAGGUUGAAUGAUUACGAGAUGGAUUAUUCAUAUCGAAGUAAUUAUGAGUAUGACCGCUACCGUCAUCGUAGUUGGAGGUGAAUGGAACUGUAACUUGUUGUAACAUUAUGCCAUAGAUGUGAUUGUGACUUGUAAAAAUGUGGAAGAACAGCGAGAAGGGGAAAUCUCUUUUUUGUUGUUAUUAUUUUUUCCUGACAGGAGUUGCUCAUUUCUGCGACCAACAGCUAGGGGAAAAUGGCCAAAUGGCUAUUGUACAAAGAAUUAUAUAGGUUUUAGCUAAUUUAGAUGGUUAUAAUUGUAGUUCUCCUUUUGAUGUAGAAUAUAUUUGGAAAUAGUUGUUAUUUAUCUUUAUAUUUUCUGCUAAUUAUUUUUUGGAAUUUUCUCCUAUUUUGAUCAUGGAGUU